UGGGGAAUAUUGGACAAUGGGCGCAAGCCUGAUCCAGCAAUGCCGCGUGUGUGAAGAAGGCCUUCGGGUUGUAAAGCACUUUUAUCAGGAGCGAAACGCUGUCGGCUAAUACCCGGCGGAACUGACGGUACCUGAGGAAUAAGCACCGGCUAACUUCGUGCCAGCAGCCGCGGUAAUACGAAGGGUGCAAGCGUUAAUCGGAAUUACUGGGCGUAAAGCGUGCGUAGGCGGUUUCUUAAGUCUGCUGUGAAAUCCCCGGGCUCAACCUGGGAAUGGCAGUGGAUACUGGGAGGCUAGAGUGUGUCAGAGGGUGGUGGAAUUCCCGGUGUAGCGGUGAAAUGCGUAGAGAUCGGGAGGAACAUCAGUGGCGAAGGCGGCCACCUGGGACAACACUGACGCUGAGGCACGAAAGCGUGGGGAGCAAACAGGAUUAGGAUACCCUGGUAGUCCACGCCCUAAACGAUGCGAACUGGAUGUUGGUCUCAACUCGGAGAUCAGUGUCGAAGCUAACGCGUUAAGUUCGCCGCCUGGGGAGUACGGUCGCAAGACUGAAACUUAAAUGAAUUGACGGGGUCAUAGCUGUUUCCUG
Molecule: ribosomal RNA, 589 nt
Filed under: uncultured bacterium
Lineage: Bacteria
Description: partial 16S ribosomal RNA
Rfam family: Bacterial small subunit ribosomal RNA
Source: RNAcentral